Molecule: unclassified non-coding RNA, 694 nt
Organism: Rhipicephalus microplus (southern cattle tick)
Lineage: Eukaryota; Metazoa; Arthropoda; Arachnida; Ixodida; Ixodidae
Source: RefSeq, a predicted model, not a curated record
AGUGACUGGUUUGUUUUUAUUCGCUCAAAUACACAUGGCUGAAAAGGAGCUUUUCUUUAAGCUUCCUUAUUUUAGUUUUGCUGACAUUGGAGACUGGUUUACUUGCAUGCGGAAUAGGUAAAUGCUGGAAACUGGAUAUCAGACAGUUUGUAUGUACAACGCAACGUAUAUGGACAUACAACACGAGUGCAAGUGAAUACAUUCGAUGUAAGAUGGACCAAGCGAAGAAUUUUACUCACACAUCUAUUUUCUUCAGACGGACGUACUUUUUUGAUGAGCAACAGUAAGCCGAUGGAGAGCCAGGAACCUCGAGGGAUUAUUUUCAAAGCAGCAGAAAGAUGUCAUGCACGUCCGCAACCAAGGAGGCAUGUUUAUUACCAAGGAGAAGGUGCUAUAUAUCCACAUGCGCUACCGGUGCGCCGUAAUGAAAGUCUCGCAAGAACAAUUCGGUUGGGAACCCUACUUCGACUUGCGGCUUUGGGAUGCGUGGGUAAAGCAAGGACCUCACCCUAAAUGCGUGCAACAGUUCGCGAAGCAUGCACCUAGAGGAAAGGUUAUAUAUGGGCCGCUGUGUGACAAUAUCCUUCAUAUUAAGUGAUAUGCACUAAAGUUGUUGUUGAGUCAUUAGGGUAACAAGGAUCAUCGGCGAAAAUAAAGUUCAGCAUAGUGAAAUUUGAAUCGGCUGUGAUAUAUA